GCUGCUAUCAACUCAGCCUGUUCUCUAAACCAUCUGGUUACUUGGCUAAGGUUGGGUUGAGUCUCAGCCCAGUAGGCUCAUGGGAUGUGCUGUCUGACUUUUAUCUCCCAGGAACCCAUGCAGGGUGUGCAACUCACCAGGAAGGCUGGCUAGUUGUUUGCUUGAGUUGGUCCCCCAGGUCCCAGCACGGCCGAUUCUCAGGAGAUGCUGACUUUUCUCUCCCUGAAACAAGUAAAUAAAAAAUUAAAACAUGAGGCUAACAAGCUACAAAUUCAGAGACCCUGAUGUGUAAACUCCUGCAGUGGACAAAUUGGUUACCAAAGCUCAGACCGCUCAGAUCCAAAUGCCCUGAGAGCCACUACAUUGGGGUAAUUGUGAGACCCUAAUGCUUUAACCUAAAAUAAAGAUCUUGGUAUAAUC
Molecule: long non-coding RNA, 420 nt
Organism: Cavia porcellus (domestic guinea pig)
Lineage: Eukaryota; Metazoa; Chordata; Mammalia; Rodentia; Caviidae
Exons: 2
Source: RefSeq, a predicted model, not a curated record